RNAcentral lists this ribosomal RNA (253 nucleotides) under uncultured bacterium. Its description in RNAcentral is "partial 16S ribosomal RNA". It matches the Rfam family "Bacterial small subunit ribosomal RNA", at positions 524 to 776 of the family's 1533-position model. The record is from RNAcentral.
UACGUAGGUGGCGAGCGUUGUCCGGAUUUAUUGGGCGUAAAGAGCGUGUAGGCGGCCCGAUAAGUCCGCCGUGAAAGUCCAGGGCUCAACCCUGGAAUGCCGGUGGAAACUGUCGGGCUGGAGUCCGGAAGAGGCGAGUGGAAUUCCUGGUGUAGCGGUGAAAUGCGCAGAUAUCAGGAGGAACACCAAUGGCGAAGGCAGCUCGCUGGGACGGUACUGACGCUGAGACGCGAAAGCGUGGGGAGCAAACAGG